This is a long non-coding RNA of Jaculus jaculus (lesser Egyptian jerboa), 477 nucleotides long. RefSeq lists it as uncharacterized. The transcript is spliced from 4 exons. Lineage: Eukaryota; Metazoa; Chordata; Mammalia; Rodentia; Dipodidae. The record is from RefSeq and is a predicted model, not a curated record.
GUAGCCGGCGUUCAGCACGACGUUGAAGGUCCGCGGGCGCGGGGGUCUUCCCAGAGGCAAGCCGGGCCCCCCCCCGGGGCGCAGCACAUCUGCUUGCACUGACUUCAGGCAACAGAGAGCAGGAGAGGACCUCAGGCCAGCUGCCUGGACACCGCUUCCUGUAAGAACAUGGUCUGAAAGCCACCGUCACGGGAUAAAUAGGACCAGGACGGAUGGACGGAGGACAUCUAUCUGAACCGUCCCCAGGCAGGAGAAGCGGCUGGAAGUGGACUCUGGCCACCUUGGCGCUGCUGCUUCACUUUCCGUGGGACCCUCAGCAAGUCAUCCAACCGUCUGAGCCUCACUUUCCACAGGAUCUGGGAAUCUGCCUGCAUUCCUUGAUUUGGAAUCAGAAAAGUGUUUUCUAAUUUGUUCUUUGACAGUUUCAUUCACAUAUAUAUAUAUAUUCAUAUUCAUAGAUGUAAUAUCUUUUUAAUA